Crocodylus porosus (Australian saltwater crocodile) is the source of this 119-nucleotide ribosomal RNA. Lineage: Eukaryota; Metazoa; Chordata; Crocodylia; Crocodylidae. The record is from Ensembl.
ACAUUUGGCUGUGCCAGACUGAAUGCACCUGAUCUCAUCUGAUCUUGGAAGCCGAGCAGCGGUGGACCUUACUGGUACUUGGAUGGAAGACUACCUUAGAGUCCCAGGCAUUGGGGCUA